UAUUGAUUAUAUGUCCUUUUCAUUAUUUUGUAUUAGAUAUGUGGCAGUGGUAAAAGUAGCGGAUUGUUGCUUGUGUCAGAUCUAACAGUGCUAUAUGAGACACCCCCAUAUUCUUGCCACGCAUG
Long non-coding RNA from Alosa sapidissima (American shad), 125 nucleotides. RefSeq lists it as uncharacterized. The record is from RefSeq and is a predicted model, not a curated record. The transcript has 3 exons. Lineage: Eukaryota; Metazoa; Chordata; Actinopteri; Clupeiformes; Clupeidae.